This 408-nucleotide ribosomal RNA is filed under the name uncultured bacterium. RNAcentral describes it as "bacterial SSU rRNA". It matches the Rfam family "Bacterial small subunit ribosomal RNA", at positions 30 to 441 of the family's 1533-position model. The record is from RNAcentral.
AUUGAACGCUGGCGGCAUGCCUUACACAUGCAAGUCGAACGGCAGCACGGGAGCAAUCCUGGUGGCGAGUGGCGAACGGGUGAGUAAUAUAUCGGAACGUGCCCAGUCGUGGGGAUAACGUAGCGAAAGCUACGCUAAUACCGCAUACGAUCUAUGGAUGAAAGCGGGGGAUCGCAAGACCUCGCGCGAUUGGAGCGGCCGAUAUCAGAUUAGGUAGUUGGUGAGGUAAAGGCUCACCAAGCCGACGAUCUGUAGCUGGUCUGAGAGGACGACCAGCCACACUGGGACUGAGACACGGCCCAGACUCCUACGGGAGGCAGCAGNGGGGAAUUUUGGACAAUGGGCGCAAGCCUGAUCCAGCAAUGCCGCGUGCAGGAUGAAGGCCUGGUGUAAGNACUUCUAGUCGAC